AUGGCAGUGGCGAGUACCUCUCCGGCUCUCUCUCUCCCGCCUCUCCUUCUCGUCCUCCUACUCCUCGCUGCCACCAGCGAGGCCACCAAAUUUAGUGUCAUCAACCGAUGCUCCUACACCGUGUGGCCAGCCGCUGUUCCGGUUGGUGGUGGCGUGAAGCUCGAUCCGGGGGAGACGUGGGAGAUGGACGUUCCCGCUGGCACCAUGGGCGGGCGCAUCUGGGCACGCACAGACUGCUCAUUCCAGGGCGAAGGCAACGGGUCGUGCCAAACUGGCGACUGCGGCGGCUUGCUUGCCUGUAAGGGCAAUGGUCAGCCGCCCAACACGCUGGGCGAGUUCACGCUUGGCCAAAACCAAACGAACGACUUCUUCGACAUCUCCCUCCUCGACGGCUUCAACGUGCCCAUGGAGUUACUGCCGGUGCAGGUUCAGGGAAGGUCAGGGUGCGGCAAGGGGCUGCGCUGCGCAGCCAACAUCACAUCACAGUGCCCGGGCGACCUGAAGGCUCCGGGGGGUUGUAACAAUGCGUGCACAGUGUUCAAGCAGGACAUGUACUGCUUUAAUGGAAGCAAGACAAGCAACCCCACAAAUUACUCGAAAUUCUUUAAAUGGAUGUGCCCAGAUGCCUACAGCUACCCUGACGAUGGUUUCACCAGAACUUUCAAUUGCCCGUCAGGUACCAACUACCAGGUCAUCUUUUGUCCCCUUUUUAAUCAAGCACUAUCGCCGACCCAGGUAACACCUCCGACACCAAGUACUCUGCCUGCAGCUACCGGGCCAACAAGCAUGAAACCGAAAUCCUCUGCUACAAGAAGAAUUGUUGCAAUUCUAGCUCCUGUAGGCGGCUUCAUUUUGCUCACCAUCGUGUUCCUCAUCAUCUUCUUUAUAUGUAAACGAAGAACACAACGACAACAUGGGAUGGAAGAAGAGGAAGAGUUUGGGGAGCUACAAGGAACACCAAUGAGGUUCACAUUUCAACAGCUAAAAGCAGCAACCGAGCAAUUCACAGACAAGCUUGGGGAAGGAGGAUUUGGGUCUGUUUUCAAGGGACAAUUUGGUGAUCAAAGGAUUGCAGUGAAACGUUUGGAUCGAACUGGUCAGGGCAAAAGUGAAUUUUCGGCAGAGGUUCAGACAAUUGGCAGCAUUCAUCAUAUUCAUCUGGUGAGAUUGAUUGGUUUCUGUGCAGAGAAAUCCCAUAGGCUCUUGGUAUAUGAGUACAUGCCCAAAGGAUCCUUGGACAGAUGGAUUUAUUGUCGACAUGACAAUGAUGCCCCUCCUUUAGAUUGGAGCACGCGGUGCAAGAUUAUAACUCACAUAGCUAAGGGCCUCUCUUAUCUUCAUGAGGAGUGCACAAAAAGAAUUGCUCAUUUGGAUGUCAAACCGCAAAAUAUUCUCUUAGAUGACAACUUUGAUGCUAAACUUUCUGAUUUUGGACUAUGCAAGCUCAUCGACAGGGAUAUGAGCCAAGUGGUUACCAGAAUGAGAGGCACACCUGGAUAUUUAGCUCCUGAAUGGUUGACAUCACAGAUCACGGAAAAGGCGGAUAUCUACAGCUUUGGCAUCGUGGUCAUGGAAAUCAUCAGUGGAAGAAAGAACCUUGACACUUCCCGGUCAGAAGAGAGCGUCCAUCUCAUCACCCUAUUGGAGGAAAAGGUGAAGAAUGAUCAGUUGGUAGAUUUGAUUGACAAUAACAGUAACGACAUGCAAGCACACAAGCAAGAUGUAAUUCAGAUGAUGAUGCUUGCAAUGUGGUGCUUGCAGAUUGAUCGCAAAAAAAGGCCUAAAAUGUCGGAGGUGGUAAGAGUAUUGGAAGGUACCAUGAAAGCAGACCUCAACAUAGAACAUGAGUUUGUUGUAACAACUCCGGCAAAUUUUAGUAGCACAGGAAAUGUGAGCUCUUCAGCUCCACCUCUAGCCUCAGAUGUAUCAGGCCCCAGGUGA
Molecule: ribosomal RNA, 1941 nt
Filed under: Triticum aestivum (bread wheat)
Lineage: Eukaryota; Viridiplantae; Streptophyta; Magnoliopsida; Poales; Poaceae
Description: partial small subunit ribosomal RNA
Source: RNAcentral